Molecule: long non-coding RNA, 2020 nt
Organism: Vigna radiata var. radiata (mung bean)
Lineage: Eukaryota; Viridiplantae; Streptophyta; Magnoliopsida; Fabales; Fabaceae
Exons: 11
Source: RefSeq, a predicted model, not a curated record
GUAAUAUCUUCCUAAAAAAUGCAGUUAAUUUGAUUUCACCUUGGCUCUCACUUUCGUUCCUCUCUUCUUCGUCCCUGAACACUGCCUCCGUCUCUUCUCGCGUUCGCUGCUUCUUCUUUGCCAAAACCUACAUCUUCUUCGUUGCCUCAAACACCCAACCUCAUCUUCGUUCCAACCUUUUUCACCGAUUAAAUCUCUUCCUACCUCGAACCCUAGAAUCUCCACCGAACAAACCUUCGAAUCUAGGGUUCGCCUUUGAUUUCACCGUCUUCCACUGUGUCCUUGUUCGCCGACUAGAUUUUACACCGCAAAAGAAGCUUUUGAACAACAUUGACCAAUUUCGGGAGGUCGUGCUUGAAGAAUUGAAGAAGCUGAAACGAACUCCCAAUGCGAAGAAAGUAGAGAGGGAAAAAAGUGUGCGUACUUUUGGAAGGUUCCUUGCCUUUACUAAUAGAUGCCACAAAAAGCUGCUGAUAAAGACCGAAAAAUACUGUAAUUAACUUCAUUCGAUUCCCGAGUGCUCAGCUCACAAAAGCAUAUCAAACGGCUGCUAUUUUAUUUGAGGUAUUGAAGGCAGUUAAUUGAACGGAAGAUGUUCCAGUAUCUGAAGAGAUUAUGCAAUCCCAUACCAAGGUUGAGGAACAGAAGCAAUUAUAUUCCCCUUAUAAUAUUUUGCCACUUGAUCCAGAGAGUGGAAAAGAGGCUAUAAUGAAAUAUCAUGAGAUUCAAGCUGCGGUUUUGGCACUCCAUAAUAUAAGGGGUUUGCCUUGGACAAAGGGUCAUGCUAAUAAAGUAAAUGAAGACAUUCUAGACUGGCUUUAAUUGAUGUUUGGUUUCCAGAAGGACAAUGUGGAAAAUCAAAGGGAGCACUUGAUUCUUUUGCUUGCGAAUGUACAUAUUCAACAAGUUCCAAAACCUGAUCAACAACCUAAGCUUAUUCAAUUAAGGUUGCCAACUAUUCAGCAGGAAAUGCAACAGCGCAAAUUAUUAUACAUGGGCCUAUAUCUUCUUAUAUGGGGAGAAACUGCAAAUUUGAGGUAUAUUGCACACUAUUAAAAAUUGGCUUAUGAACCCCACAAAACCUGCGUAUGAGGUAAUGACUAUAUCCAAGAAAUUUUAACCUUUAUUUAAGUCAUAUCCUAGGUUGAUGUGGGACUAAACCACCACCAACUUUCAAGCACAUACUUGCAUGAGGUUAUUUUGGUAGUUCAGAAUUUUAAUAAUCUUUCGUUUUAUGAUAUAAAAUCAAUUUUCUGAUGUUUAAUUUGACUAUUAAAAUAAUUGUGAACAAAAUCUAAGCAUAAUUUUUUUUCAUCUGCCUAAAUGGCAUUUGAGUUACAUGGGAUGCUAGCCGGGAAUGUUAGUCCACUGACUGGUGAACCAGUAAAGCCUGCCUAUGGUGGUGAAAAUAAGGCUUUUCUUAUGAAAGUGGUAAAAGCAAUUUAUGAUGUAAUAGCCAAGGAAGCUAAGAGGAGUAAUAUGGGAAAAGCAAAGCAUUCUCAAUGUCAAUUGAUUGUUUUCGGUUAGGGUGGCCCGUGCAUGUUGACUCUGAUUUCUUCUAUGUGCUUUUUCGUCGGGAACAACGUCAAGUUAACAAAGACGAGGAAAACAGAGUUCGCGUGACAGACCGGUGGAGUGGAAAAGUUAAUUUUGUUGAAAUACGCACAUUUUGUAAUGUUUUUAGAAGUUUCGAUAGAAUGUGGAGCUUUUAUAUACUCUGUUUACAGGAUAGAUCAGAUUUUAAAGAAGGGAAGAUUAGAUGGAUAGAACUAGUUGAAGAUGUUGAGGAUAUUGUUACAAAGAUAGUUAAUUUGGUAACAGAGGAGCUUGCUAACGAGAUAAUUUCUUCUUGAAAUCUUUGAAAGAUUGUAGUUGUGAGAAUUUGAAUCAGUGUAUAGUUUCAUUAAGUGGAUUUUGAGAUGUUUGUGGAGUCAAUUUUAAGAAUUUGAAUUAGGACAUAGGUAUUUGAAGAGUUUGAGAUAACAUAUAGGUAAAGAUUUGAUAUUCUUUUAUACAAAAA